Molecule: transfer RNA, 2749 nt
Filed under: Paramuricea clavata
Lineage: Eukaryota; Metazoa; Cnidaria; Anthozoa; Malacalcyonacea; Plexauridae
Source: RNAcentral
CAUUGAACUAAAAUAUAUGGAACGCUACCUUAACUGAACAUGCCGAGACUUGCCUGAAGCCAAAUUUUACCUCCAGACACGCGUGUCUGGAGGUAAAAUUCACGCGCGUUGUCGCGUUUCCUGCGUGGCGCCGAAGAACAGCGACAGCCAACUCUGGUAGCAACAUGUGAUUGAAAAGGUUUUGAAAAGGAAGGCACUUCUCUUGUUAUGGAGGUAAUCGGUUAAAUUUUCAUUCAAUACAGCAUGAAUCAUAACUUUUCAUACGUGUAUUCGAUCGGUAAAUCGGGGAAAUGAAACAUUUUUUCGUUUAAAUUGAAUGUGUGCACAAACGACAUGGAUUCAGAGAUUCAGAGUGGCAUUGUAAAGUUGUAAACACGUAAGUGCCUUUACUAAAUUUAUUAAAUAUGCGUGAAGCUCAAUCGCAUCUGCAACAGAGUAACUGAAAUUGUAUGUGAUUUGAGGACAGUUUGUUUGCCAGGUUCAAUCCUUCUUGUUCUUGAAUAUUCUGAAGCUCUUCGAUAUGUUUCCAUCUUAUGAUGUUGCCAUCUCCAUCAAUGGGCCAUUCCAUUUAUUAAAUAUACCCAGGCACCCCCUAUUGAGGGGUCCCUUCCAAAUCCCCUUAGGAUAUAAACAUUUUAGAACCCCCUUGGAUGUGAUUUUUGGAAGUUACCCCAUGGAUAUCUUGAUACCCCCUUUACAGACCUCUCAACUUCAACCCCCGUCGCCAAAAAAAUUUCGGUCAGUGUACCAUUUUAGGGGUCAAAAAAAAUUUCCGGACAACCAAUAUUUUUCGGAACAUACACAAAAUUUUCGAAAAAUCACAAAAUUUGCCAAAAAAUUGAAUUAAGUUUAGACAAAAUUUACAGAAUUUGUCACAUUCCUUUUAUUGCAACCCAAAAUUGCCCGACUGUUGAUCGAAUAUUGCCCGACUGCCCAAAAAACUCGCCCGGUACGCCUAUGCGGAUGUGCCAAAAUUUUUAUGCAUUAGAUUUACUAAACGUGGCGUGAGAGAGAGCGCGAGACUGAAGCGAAUUGCGUGAGACUCACGCCGAAUGCGUGAGAAUUGAAAGGUCUGGCGUGAGAGCGUGAGACUGAAGCGAAUUGCGUGAGACUCACGCCGAAUGCGUGAGAGUUGAGAGGUCUGCCUUUAGGAUAUUGUUUUUGCCCCCUUGGAUAUCACUAAAACACCUAAUUUCUGCUAUUUUUUUGAAAAAUUUUAGGUAAAAACCCCCUCCCCCAUAGGAUAUCCAGACCCCUCAAUAGGGGGGUGCCUAUAUUAAAUGGAAUGGCCCAUUAUAAAGGAUCCCAUGGACAGGGUCGAGUAUCACAAAAACAUCUUUGGUUGUUGGAUUCUUAAAAGUUACCAGAAAAUUUGCAACCCAGUGUUUUGAAUGUACUAAUGUUAACAUCUGUGCCAUCAGCUGUUACUGACCUCAUUUUUAGAUUAGCAUUUGCAACUUUUUCAAGACACUUUUUACCAGUGUGGCUUGGUCCUUUGCAUUCAUUUUAUCAGCCAAGAGGUAUCCCACUGAACAUUUACAAUGACUUCUGGUGCCUACCAGAAGAAAAACCAAAGCUUCUGUGGCCAAUUUUUCUAAAUGUCCAUUAGGAAUCUCAUUUCCAAAGUCUACAAAUCCGUAGGAGUCUUUUUCUGGAUUCCAAAUGGUUUGUUUUCGGAUAGACAUUGCGUCUAUUACCAAACAGUAAUCUUUGUCAGUAUUUGAUUCGGCUCGGCUCGGCUGAUAAUGCUUACCUCAACCUUCUAAGAAAGGGAUGAGAAUGCCUCAUCAAUAAAGCCUUGAUGUAAUUUUGUGUAAUUCAUCACUUGAGGCACAUCUUGGUCUUUUUUUCUGAAAUUGAAGGAUCAUUUUCAUGUGCUGGACAUGGUCUCACGGUCUGUUCUUCUGUUUAAUUCCUCGUCAUGUGCUGUUAAUGUUGGUGGGUCAGAAUGUACAGGUGAACCAGAUGGAAAAGCAUAUUUUUUGAGUCGACAUGUGUUGUUGGAUGAAGGAGGCAAGAUAUAAUCAGUUGACUGGAAAUGCUUGCUGCCUAUACGACUGUCCUGGUUGACUUGCCAUGGCUUUUUAUUUACUUUUUUGAACAUAAUUCUCCCAACAUAUUAAUUGUAAAGCAUUAUUUUUCAAAGGAAAUCCAUGACAAUAAUAAUAAUUUUUAUGUAAAUUCAGCUUAAUUAUCACCCUUCUAUCUGUCUGCUUGUCUUAUUUAUUCUUGUGUUUGUUUUUUUUUGUUGUAGGUGAUGUACACAUGUCAAAAGUCAAAAUGUGUAAAAUAGGCUUGUUUUUGUUAUAUUUUCUUUGAAGUAUCUAAUAUCACAGGUUUAUGUUUUUUUUUUUGUGUUUUUUUUCUGUGUUGGUGUUGUGUACUCAGGUGAAUAUGUUAUUUGUGAUGUUACUCUGAGUGUAUAUCCACACCGAGCGAGCUUGAAAAAUAUGCCCGGCCACAGAGGGAUUUGAACCUACGACCUUUGGAAUACUAGCCCAAUGCUCUUCCAACUGAGCUACGCGGUCAGGACGGUUCGAGUAAGUGAUAUUUAGGAACUGAAUCUAGUUCCUUCGAUACCAAUGUAUUCUAGUAAUAUGAUAUAUUUUUUUUGGCUAGUAUUCCAAAGGUCGUAGGUUCGAAUCCCACCAUGGCCGGGCAUAUUUUUCAAGCUCGCCCGGUGUGGAUAUACACUCAGAGUAACAUCACAAAUAUCAGGUUUAUGUUUGUUUUUUUGUGUAUAAUUAAG